UACGAAGGGGGCUAGCGUUGCUCGGAAUCACUGGGCGUAAAGCGCACGUAGGCGGCUUUUUAAGUCAGGGGUGAAAUCCCGGAGCUCAACUCCGGAACUGCCUUUGAUACUGAAAAGCUUGAGUUCGGGAGAGGUGAGUGGAACUGCGAGUGUAGAGGUGAAAUUCGUAGAUAUUCGCAAGAACACCAGUGGCGAAGGCGGCUCACUGGCCCGAUACUGACGCUGAGGUGCGAAAGCGUGGGGAGCAAACAGG
Molecule: ribosomal RNA, 253 nt
Filed under: uncultured bacterium
Lineage: Bacteria
Description: partial 16S ribosomal RNA
Rfam family: Bacterial small subunit ribosomal RNA
Source: RNAcentral